UGGGGUGUGGCUCAGUUUUAGAGCACUUGCCUAGCACGUGCAAGCCCCUGGGUUCCAUCCCCAGCACCAUUA
Molecule: transfer RNA, 72 nt
Filed under: Ictidomys tridecemlineatus (thirteen-lined ground squirrel)
Lineage: Eukaryota; Metazoa; Chordata; Mammalia; Rodentia; Sciuridae
Description: Spermophilus tridecemlineatus (thirteen-lined ground squirrel) tRNA
Rfam family: tRNA
About the family: Transfer RNA (tRNA) molecules are approximately 80 nucleotides in length. Their secondary structure includes four short double-helical elements and three loops (D, anti-codon, and T loops).
Source: Rfam by way of RNAcentral